RNAcentral lists this unclassified non-coding RNA (240 nucleotides) under soil metagenome. Its description in RNAcentral is "partial contains 5.8S ribosomal RNA, internal transcribed spacer 2, and large subunit ribosomal RNA". The record is from RNAcentral.
AACGGUCUAUACCUGCGGUACCUGCGGAAGGAUCAUUACAGAGUUGCAAAACUCCCUAACCCUUGUGAACAUACCUGUACGUCGUUGCUUCGGCGGGUAGCCCCUUUACGGGGCCUCGACCUCCCAGCGAGGUUGCCCGCCGGAGGACCACACAAAACUCUUGAAUUAAUGGCUUCUCUGAGUAUUAAUCAAAUAAGUUAAAACUUUUAACAAUGGAUCUCUAGAUCGGAAGAGCACACG